Long non-coding RNA from Erinaceus europaeus (western European hedgehog), 603 nucleotides. RefSeq lists it as uncharacterized. The transcript is spliced from 2 exons. Lineage: Eukaryota; Metazoa; Chordata; Mammalia; Eulipotyphla; Erinaceidae. The record is from RefSeq and is a predicted model, not a curated record.
AGCGUCGGGCAGUAGCGCAGCGGGUUAAGCGCAGGUGGCGCAAAGCACAAGGUCGGCAUAAGGAUCCCGGUUCGAGCCCCUGGCUCCCCACCUGCAGGGGAGUCGCUUCACAAGCGGUGAAGCAGGUCUGCAGGUGUCUGUCUUUCUCUCCCCCUCUCUGUCUUCCCCUCCUCUCUCCAUUUCUCUCUGUCCUAUCUAACAACGACAACAUCAAUAACUAAUAACUACAACAAUAACGAAAAACAAGGACAACAAAAGAGAAAAUUAAAAAAAUAAAUAAAUAAAAAUAAAUAAUAAAAGAAAGAAACCUAACUCGGGGGGAGUCACCUGGACGUGAGAUAAUUGGGCUCACUCCAGGGAAUUUUAAAAAUAUGUACAUGUCAGGAGUCGGGCAGUAGCACAGCAGGUUAAGUGCAUGUGGCGCAAAGCACAAGGACUGGCAUAAGGAUCCCAGUUCGAGCCCCCGGCUCCCCACCUGCAGGGAGUUGCUUCACAGGCGGUGAAGCAGGUCUGCAGGUGUCUGUCUCUCUCCCCCUCUCUGUCUUCCCCUCCUCUCUCCAUUUUUCUGUCCUAUCCAACAACGACGACUACAACAACAAUAAC